UUAAGCAUAUCAAUAAGCGGAGGAAAAGAAACCAACAGGGAUUGCCUCAGUAACGGCGAGUGAAGCGGCAAAAGCUCAAAUUUGAAAUCUGGCUCUUUCAGGGUCCGAGUUGUAAUUUGUAGAAGAUGUUUCGGGUGUGGUCCCAGUCUAAGUUCCCUGGAACUGGACAUCACAGAGGGUGAGAAUCCCGUAUGUGACUGGGUACCUACGUCCAUGUGAAACUCUUUCGACGAGUCGAGUUGUUUGGGAAUGCAGCUCAAAAUGGGUGGUAAAUUUCAUCUAAAGCUAAAUAUUGGCCAGAGACCGAUAGCGCACAAGUAGAGUGAUCGAAAGAUGAAAAGCACUUUGGAAAGAGAGUUAAACAGUACGUGAAAUUGUUGAAAGGGAAGGGCAUGCAAUCAGACUUGCGCCUAGUUGAUCAUCCGGGCUUUUGCCCGGUGCACUCGAUUAGGCUCAGGCCAGCAUCAGUUUAGAGGGUUGGAUAAAGGCCUUGGGAAUGUGGCCCCUCUCGGGGGGUGUUAUAGCCCAAGGUGCAAUGCAGCCACUCUGGACUGAGGACCGCGCUUCGGCUAGGAUGCUGGCGUAAUGGUUGUAUGCCGCCCGUCUUGAAACACGGACCAAGGAGUCUAACAUCUAUGCGAGUAUUUGGGUGUUAAACCCAUAUGCGUAAUGAAAGUGAACGGAGGUGAGAGCCCUUAAGGGUGCAUCAUCGACCGAUCCUGAUGUCUUCGGAUGGAUUUGAGUAAGAGCAUAGCUGUUGGGACCCGAAAGAUGGUGAACUAUGCGUGAAUAGGGUGAAGCCAGAGGAAACUCUGGUGGAGGCUCGCAGCGGUUCUGUACGUGCAAAUCGAUCGUCAAAUUUGCGUAUAGGGGCGAAAGACUAAUCGAACCAUCUAGUAGCU
Molecule: ribosomal RNA, 902 nt
Filed under: Lambertella corni-maris
Lineage: Eukaryota; Fungi; Ascomycota; Leotiomycetes; Helotiales; Rutstroemiaceae
Description: partial large subunit ribosomal RNA
Rfam family: Eukaryotic large subunit ribosomal RNA
Source: RNAcentral